UGGGGAAUUUUGGACAAUGGGCGAAAGCCUGAUCCAGCAAUGCCGCGUGUGUGAAGAAGGCCUUCGGGUUGUAAAGCACUUUUGUCCGGAAAGAAAUGGCUCUGGUUAAUACCUGGGGUCGAUGACGGUACCGGAAGAAUAAGGACCGGCUAACUACGUGCCAGUAGCCGCGGUAAUACGUAGGGUCCAAGCGUUAAUCGGAAUUACUGGGCGUAAAGCGUGCGCAGGCGGUUGUGCAAGACCGAUGUGAAAUCCCCGAGCUUAACUUGGGAAUUGCAUUGGUGACUGCACGGCUAGAGUGUGUCAGAGGGGGGUAGAAUUCCACGUGUAGCAGUGAAAUGCGUAGAGAUGUGGAGGAAUACCGAUGGCGAAGGCAGCCCCCUGGGAUAACACUGACGCUCAUGCACGAAAGCGUGGGGAGCAAACAGG
This 429-nucleotide ribosomal RNA is filed under the name Bacillota bacterium. Its description in RNAcentral is "Firmicutes bacterium partial 16S ribosomal RNA". It matches the Rfam family "Bacterial small subunit ribosomal RNA", at positions 355 to 776 of the family's 1533-position model. Lineage: Bacteria; Bacillati; Bacillota. The record is from RNAcentral.